Molecule: transfer RNA, 93 nt
Filed under: Micromonospora parathelypteridis
Lineage: Bacteria; Bacillati; Actinomycetota; Actinomycetes; Micromonosporales; Micromonosporaceae
Description: tRNA-Arg
Source: RNAcentral
GCUCGGCCUGCUCGACGGCGGUACGGAUCGCGGUCUCCUGGACCGCGUUGAAGGCCUUGCCGACCUGGCCGAUCUCGUCGGUGCCGAACUCCA